CAAGAAUAUGAAGAGAAGGAGGAUGACAGCUUCCUAGAAACGAGAAAAUCCAAGGAUGGAACCUACAGUGUCCUUAUGGACUCAGCAAACCGCAGUUGGCUGGGCAGAAAAAUGAGUGAAAUAGCUAUUAGUAACCUAGUUGAGACGAUCCUCAAUAUUAUGAUCCAUGCUUCCCCACUGAAGUACCAGCGCUGUAUUGGCGCACUAGGGCAGAUCUUUGCGUCUUACCAAGUGUCUCCAUCCCUGCGCUCUGAGACUGCCCACCGUCUGCUGGAUGAUACAACCAAUUCCAACCCACUGAUCCGAGAGCUAGCCUGGGAAGGGCUGAAGCGUCUAGGAAUGGUCACUCAUCUCUUUGCCUUGCCUCUGGCCCAAGGGUUAAUGGAUAAGGAUGAAAGAGUGAGGAAUAAGGCCCUCAACAUCAUGCCUGAGACUGGAAUCCACUCCAGGACCUCACUCUUAAACUUGAUCCAGGGACAAGAGACUUUCCAGGAAAUGAAGCAAGAGAUGAUUGGGGAUGAAUCCCUGGACCACCUGCUGGGGAUGCGGCCCACAGAUCUCCAAAUCCUUUUCUCUCAAGUGCAGCAGCGACUGAAUGAAAACCUGACCUUGUCAAAAGAAGAUAGGGAAUUUUAUUUUUCUUUACAUAUCGCAAGGCCUUCUGUACCUUCUAUACAACCUGCCACUGUUCCUGAAGAAUCUGAUGUCAAGCGCAGCAAAGGGCAAAGACGGGGCCGAGCAGUGGGCAGAAAGCACACGCGAAAAUUGUUGCGAGGUCUCAGAAAGAUGAAAGAGGGAGACUUUAAACAGAUGAGCACAGAGCCGGGCCCAGUAGAAGGUGAAAUUGAUCAGAGUGAAACUGUGCCACCUGAGAUGGAGGACACAACUUUCUCCUCCAGGUUUUCAGUUGGUAGUCUAAAGGGCUCUCAAGAUUAUGAACCUUCAGAGAUACAUGUCUCAGAGGGUCACAUUCCUCUGGCCCAGAAGAUGCUAAAGAAAAUGCCUGAUACAAGAGGUAUUGCCAAAUACGGAAUCUUAGAACUUGCCUGGAAGAGCCUGCCCCAAGCUGAUACUUGCCUCACCAAGGAAUUUCCCCACAUCAUUGCCACCACUCCCAAAUUUGGGACUGGCUAGAGGUCAGAACUUUUCAUUCCCAACUGGAGAAGGCUCUGCUCAUCAGAAUCUAGAGCUUCAUCUCUAGGGACCAGAUCAAAGCCCUUUCCCUACCCAGCUCUGGAAACCUGUUUCUGUAUGUGAAUAAAGGAGAGGUUCUUUUUUUGCAACAAGUAAGGAACUUUGAUGUGUUCCUUUUCCCAAAAAUUUAUAUUUUAGGAAGGUCACCAGAGAUACAUAUUUCUGUGAGCGGGAAAAUAUCCCAGCAGCCAGUGGUAUUCACUCUGUGAGCUCCUGAAGAGUCUGUCCUUGUCCUCAUCCUUCCUGGUCUUCUACCAUCGCUGUCCCGAAAACAACAGGGAAGAAAGCAACUGUCACAAAACUAAUGUAUAUAGACAUUAAUAUAAGUGGUGGAAUGGAUUUAAGAAUCAGAAGACCUAACAUUUGCAUUUUAGUACCUGGAGGCGUACUGUAGGGAUUGACUCUAAUUCCCUGAUCACAGCUGAGCAUGAUGAUGACUUAAGUCCCAAACAGCAAUUGUGCUGGGUAUUGAGAUCCUUAGAGUAAAGGAAAAAGCCUCAUCACAUUUGACCCAGUACUAUGUGGUGAGUUCAUUGCUGGAUCCCACUAAAGAGGGACGCCAUUUGAGGUUAAAGCAGGAAGAAAAUGAGAAGACCCUAUGCUUUUCAUUGCCUUUGCUAUGAGAGAGUGACAUGGGGCUUGACAGAAUGAUGGAAUAAGAAUUAAGAAGACUAAGUAUAGACUCAAAUAAGUCCCAGUUGUCUAGGAAUUUAUAACCGUUCCUUCCAACAAAUAAAGAUAUAAGAUUUAAAAGAAAAAAUGUAGUACCAUAGAGGAAGCUUUCAUUGCCAGUAAUCCUGUUCUCUCCUUACCAUGGAGUCUUCAGAAUGGCCUCUUUCCAGGGAAGCUCAGGCUUCCAAAUGCUUCUAGGGAGUGCCUCAUCUCUGCCACUUCCCAUUCUCUGCCACAACCUCUAUUUUGCUAUUCUAAUACUUGCAUCUUUGGAUGUAUUUUCCUGUGGGAGGAAGCAGGGGAUAGAGGACAGCAAAACAGUCUGAGAAGUUAGAGUCAUCUCAAAGGCCAAAAGCAAUGAGAGCUGUGACUCUGCAGUUGCGCUCUUCCAUGUUAGAGUGUAUAUCAGGCCACAUAGCUUGGAGCAGGAAGCCUCAAAAAGGAUGACUGACCUGACAGCCAGUCAAGGCAGUGAAAGUAAAGAUAGCCCAGCUUGCUCAGUAGCCUUGACCUGAGUCACUUCUCUGUUUUGGCCUCUGUUUAUUUGUCUGUCAAAAAAGGAAUAAUGCUCACUACAAAUAUUAGGCAUGAAAGAAGGAACACCACUACAGAACCUACAGAUGCUUAAAAGGAUAAGACUGCUAUUUUAAAAACUCUUAUGCCUAUAAAUUUGACAGCAUAGAUGAAAUGAGUAAACUCUUUGAAAAACCCUGAAGCAAAUAGCAAUACCUAGCUAAUUCAUUUGUUGGAUAGACCAUCCACAUUCCAAUUUUUUGACUGACCUAAUAAUGCCCUUAUAGCCUUCUUUUCCUUCCAUUACAAGAGUCAGUCUAAAGUCAGGUUAUCAGGGGCUCCUCUGGUAAAUCCACAAAACCUAGUGAACUGUCUGUUGUGAUCCCAGAGUCAAAAAGAAUAUGGAUGACCCUUCAGGGAGCCUCAGAAGCUAGGUACUUGCUGUGAAAAUCCAGUUUUUUAUUUGUUUUGUUUUGUUUUUGAGACAGGUUCUCGCUAUACCAUUCAGGCUGCCCUUGAAUUCACUAUGUAGCCCCAACACUAACCUCCAACUCAGGGCAAUCCUCUUGCCUCAGACACCUGAGUUUUAGAAUUACAGGUGUGUAUCACCAUGCUCAGCCUAACAAUCCAGAUAUGGCAAAGAGAAGUCAUUCAUUUGUAUUUUCUGUUAUGAAAAUUUGGGGGCUGGAGAUGUAGCUCAGUCAUAGAGCAUGAUGAAAGGAAAGGAAUGACUUUUUUUGUUGUUGGUGUUUUUGAAACAGGGUCCCCCUAUGCAGUUCAGGCCGCCCUCGAAUUUACUAUGUAGCCCCUACACUAGUGUCCCACUCACAGCAAUCUUCCUGCCUCAACCGCCUGAGUGCUAGGAUUACAAGUGUGUACCAUACCACACCCGCAAGUACUUUUUAAAAAGGGAAAUUCAGAGGUAGUAAAUCUGAAAUUCAGGAAUAAUUCAGUGAAUGGGGCUUGGAAACAAUUCUAUUUCUAGAAUUAUGAUCAACCUAAUAGUAUAUCAUUCUACUGUAAACUGUCUAGAAAUGUUGAACAAAACAUAAUCAUCCUUUCAAAUAUGAAGUUGGGCUGAGCUGAUAAUAAGAUCAGCAACCAAAUACGAAGUGAGAAAUAAAAUUAAAUGGUAGGUCUUGGGCUAGAGGUGUAGCUCAGUAAUAAAAGUAGAUGCUUAGCGUGAGUAAGGCUCUAGGUUCAACCCCCAGCACCAAAAACAAAUAAAACACACAAGUGGUUCGUUUGUGAUCUAUUGUUAAGGCAAUGGGGCAAAGAACAUGAUUUUUUGGCUGUAGUAAUUUAGGAGACUGGGUCUUUAUACCCAAGUGAGGACAGGAUAAAAGUUUUGAACCAGAACCAAAUGAGUGGCUGUACUUCUGAAUAAAGAGGUGAAUAAUAUGAUAAGGUAGAUAAUCCAGAAUAGAAUCUGUCCACCUGGCUAUGGUAUGUGGGAUAUCUGGAAUAGGAAAAACAAGGUGCUUUCUAAAGAUUCUUAGGCAUGAGUUUGCAUUUAUCCCAUAAAAUAUUGGGACCCCAAACCAAGAUGUUAACAUAAAAAUUGUCUUGAACCAUUGAUAUUUCUGAAGCGCUUUGCAGAAGCAAUCAUAAAAUCUUUCUAUAAGCACUGGCUCUCCACACAGGAUUUUCAAAUAUAAAACUCAAAACAAGAUCACAAAUUACAGCUCAAAUUUUUUGUCACAAGAUAUACCAAAUAGCAAGACUAGACCCACAGAUCUUCAGAGACCAGAAUUAUCAGAUAUAGACUUUAAAAUAAUUGUGCUAAAAAACAUACACACCCACUAACACAAAGAAAAAGUUCAAGGCAGAUCUGAAAAGAGCCAAAUAAGCCAGACACAAUGGGGCACAUACCUAUAAGAACCAGCCUGGGUAACUUAGUGAGAUACUGUCUCAAAAUUUAAAAAAGCCUUAAAAGGACUGGGGUUGUGGCUCAGUGAUAGAAUACUUGCCUAUGGGCCAUGUGGGCCAGGUCCUUAGG
Chinchilla lanigera (long-tailed chinchilla) is the source of this 4378-nucleotide long non-coding RNA. NCBI's taxonomy places the organism in Eukaryota, Metazoa, Chordata, Mammalia, Rodentia, Chinchillidae. The record is from Ensembl.